AGCCCAACAGCUAGCUCACCUCACAAAAACCAACAACCAACUAUACCUAACCCCUAAUACCCUAAAACCACGAAAACAAAUCAUUUUUCCCCCUAAGUAUGGGAGACAGAAAAGGACCCCAGAAGCUAUAGAAAAAGUACCGCAAGGGAAAGCUGAAAGAGAAAUGAAACAAAUCAGUAAAGCACAAAAAAGCAGAGUUAAACCCUCGUACCUUUUGCAUUAUGACUUAGUUAGAAAAUCUCGAGCAAAAAGAAUUUUAGUUCGACACCCCGAAACCAAGUGAGCUACUCCAAGACAGCCUAUAAGGGCCAACCCGUCUCUGUGGCAAAAGAGUGGGAAGAGCUUUGAGUAGAGGUGACAGACCUACCGAACUUGGUUAUAGCUGGUUGCCUAGAAAAUGAAUAAAAGUUCAGCCUUUUACCUUCUUCCUCCACAACCGGUUACACACCAAGAACCAAAGAAGAUAAAAGAGUUAGUCAAAGGGGGUACAGCCCCUUUGAAAAAGAUACAACUUUCCCAGAAGGGUUAAGAUCAUAACAUUACAGGAAACGUGUUUUAGUUGGCCUAAAAGCAGCCACCCAUAUAGAAAGCGUUAUAGCUCAGACACAUUACACCCCUAUUAUUUAGACCACCUCAUCUUACCCCCCUACACAUACUAGGCCCCCUUAUACCGCUAUAAGAGCGACUAUGCUAACAUGAGUAAUAAGAGAUCAAACAUCUCUCCACGCACACGUGUACAUCGGAACGAACCAAUCACCGACAAUUAACGACCCCAAAAAAGAGGAGACUGAAAAAAUAUGGUUAAACCACUAGAAAAAUAUUCAAAGUAUCCAACCGUUAAUCUUACACCAGAGUGCCCACAAGGAAAGACUAAAAGAAAAAGAAGGAACUCGGCA
RNAcentral lists this ribosomal RNA (896 nucleotides) under Glossamia aprion (mouth almighty). RNAcentral's name for it is "partial 16S ribosomal RNA". The stretch from base 195 to 695 matches the Rfam family "Bacterial large subunit ribosomal RNA", at positions 573 to 1301 of the family's 2925-position model. The record is from RNAcentral. Lineage: Eukaryota; Metazoa; Chordata; Actinopteri; Kurtiformes; Apogonidae.